AAAAAGGACAGCCCGAUGCACAGAGCAUCUCGUGUUCACAUAGGGUCUAAGGAGAAGUAGAGUAGACAGUCUAUCCUAAUGCAAGCAACACCAGCUGAUUCCAUAACUUGAACUCGUUAAAACAACUUUACUGUUGCUCCAAGGUUCACUUCAUGUUACAACAGGAUAAUGUCUCAAAAACAUCAGAGAAAAGAAUCGAGACGUUUAGGCUACGAUACAACACUCAGCAAUUUUGAAUCCUUCAAACAGUUGCAUAAAUGGCAAAUUAUAUACUGACUGCAAAUGCAUCUGCCAAAAUGAUCAUUUGUUGAGGUCUCAAUGAAGCCUCCUCUUAAGAAAAUUAAACAGCAGCAGGAGUUUUGCUGUCGAUAGACUUGAGCACUUCUUCACCCAUUUCCUUGCAUCCGACCAAUUUAUGUCCUGCUGAGUGAAUGUCACCAGUACGGAAUCCUCGAUUUAAGGUGUCUAAAACAGCUGCUUCAAUUCUCUGAGCAGCCUUCUCCUCACCUAGGCCAUACUUCAGAAGCAUAGCAGCGCUGAGCAUUGUUGCCAAAGGGUUUGCUUUAUCCUGCCCAGCAAUAUCAGGAGCAGAACCAUGUAUAGGUUCAAAUAAUCCAGGUCCCGCUGCACCAAGACUGGCAGAUGGAAGCAUCCCGAUACUUCCUGUAAUCAUUGAUGCUUCAUCGGACAGGAUGUCACCAAAUAUGUUGUUUGUCACAAUUGUAUCGAACUGUUUUGGGUUGCGAACAAGUUGCAUGGCUGCAUUAUCAACAUACAUGUGAGAGAGCUCUACAUCAGGAUACUCUGAGGCUAACGCUGUAACUAUCUUCCUCCAAAGCAUAGAGGCCUCCAAUACAUUUGCUUUAUCCACGCUACAUAGUUUUCCUCUACGCUUCCUUGCAGUUUCAAAUGCAAUACGAGCAAUUCUUUCGAUCUCAUAUGCUGCAUACACUUCAGUGUUGAAACCUAUUUCCUGACCAUUUUCAUCAGUGCUGAAUCCUCUUGGUUUGCCAAAAUAAAUACCUCCAGUAAGUUCCCUAACAACCAUUAGGUCUACACCUUCAGCAACUUCUUUCUUCAAAGUUGAAGCAUCUACUAACUGUGGUAAAACAGUGGCUGGUCUCAAGUUAGCAAAGACCUGCAAACCUUCUCGAAGUUGAAGCAAUCCAGUCUCGGGCUUCAAAUGUUUUUCAUUUUUGUCCCAUUUAUAUCCUCCAAUUGCUCCAAGAAGAGUAGCAUCAGAUUUCUUUGCAGAAUUAAGAGUCUCAUCAGGCAAUGGUACCCCUACAGCAUCCAAUGCAGCCCCUCCCAUAGGCAUCUCCUCAAAUGCAACUUCAAAUCCUUCAAUGGAGGAGACAAGUUGGAGGGCAUUUUUGGCAACAGAAAUUACUUCAGGUCCAAUACCAUCGCCGGAAAGAAGAGUAAUGUUGUAGCUUUUGCUGGGUGAAGAAGCGGAACAGCGAAUAGUACCCCAUUUAGUGGCGUGUUUGGGUACUUUUUUGGAAUGAAAUUGGUUAAAAGGAGUUGCAGUGAAUUGUAAAGAAGAAGAAGAAGCCGC
This 1558-nucleotide unclassified non-coding RNA is filed under the name Hevea brasiliensis (rubber tree). Lineage: Eukaryota; Viridiplantae; Streptophyta; Magnoliopsida; Malpighiales; Euphorbiaceae. The record is from RNAcentral.